This is a long non-coding RNA of Oncorhynchus masou masou (cherry salmon), 599 nucleotides long. RefSeq lists it as uncharacterized. The record is from RefSeq and is a predicted model, not a curated record. NCBI's taxonomy places the organism in Eukaryota, Metazoa, Chordata, Actinopteri, Salmoniformes, Salmonidae. The transcript is spliced from 3 exons.
ACUGAAAGUCAAUGAGAUACACAGUAUUUCCAGGUCAAAGGUUGAUAGAGCAAAGGCACCAAGCUUGCGGUUUUCACACUCCUGAGUCAAUACUUUGUAGAAGCACCUUUGGCAGCAAUUACAGUGGUGCCCUUCUUUGCGAGCGGUUGGAAAUCUUCCCUGGUCUUUGUGGUUGAAACUGUGUUUGAAAUUCACUGCUCGACUGAGGGACCUUAUAGAUAAUUGUAUGUUUGGGGUAAAGAGAUGAGGUAGUCAUUCAAAAAUCAUGUUAAACACUAUUAUUGCACACAUGUAACUUAUUAAGCAAAUGUUUACUCCUGAACUUAUUUAGGCUUGCCAUAACAAAGGGGUUGAAUACUUUUUACUCAAGUUGUUUCAGCUUUUCAUUUUUAAUUCAUUUGUAAACAUUUUUAAUAACAUAAUUCCAAUUUGGCACUGUGGGGUAUUGUGUGUAGACCAGUGGAGAAAAAACAUCUAAAUUGAAUUCAUUUUAAAUUCAGGCUCUAACACAACAAAAUGUGGAAAAAGUCAAGGGGGUGUGAAAACUUUCUGAAGAUAUUGCAGAUAAGGGGAGGAGUUGAUACUCAAAGUAAAGUACA